Molecule: long non-coding RNA, 1037 nt
Organism: Scophthalmus maximus (turbot)
Lineage: Eukaryota; Metazoa; Chordata; Actinopteri; Pleuronectiformes; Scophthalmidae
Exons: 5
Source: RefSeq, a predicted model, not a curated record
AAGUGGAUUCUUCCCUUCCCGAUGUUGACGUCAGCAUUGGGCCAUCAUUGAUCAGCACUCUGCAGGAGCACGUCAGCACCGGGAGAGAGCAACGAGCGGGGCCUCCAUUCAUCGCUGUCAAAAACUCCAGCUGAGGACCCGUCACCACAGCGCAGAGGACGACACCGAGCAGCCGCACGUCCGUCGACAUCACAUCACUUGAGCCUGAAACAUUUCACUUUGUUUCCAAUUCUCAUUUUUUAUUUCUCUCUCCCCUGCAUGACGACGGCGCCCACAAACCAGACUCCCACCCGCUGCCCGGCCGGCGUGGCGCGACAGAAGCGGCAGCUGUGCACUUCUUGCCAGCGACGGUCACCAAAGUCAGCAGAAGCAUGGCUGCCAGCAGUGUCAUCGAUUUCCGCCGAGGCGCUGAGGAACUUCUGUUCAACUGUAUGCCGUGUUGUUCAGAGUUGAGGGAGAUGCCGAGUGAACGUUCUGCAGAAAAACCUCCUGGAUUGUUUUCCCGUCAAAGCCGAGUUAUUUAGUCAAGGCUCUUCAUCUCGGAAUCAAGAUCCAUGGCAACAACCACAAUGGUGCGUGCCACCGCAAUCCCCCUCGGCAGAAUUCAGCAUCAGAACGGUGUCUGAGGGCGCGGGCGGACGCUUCCCUGCGUCUUGUCGUGACACUGGAUCUAAAGGGUGACACGACGUGGAAGGCCUGGUGGGUGAGCACAAGCAAAGAGCCAGUGCAGGUCUUUCAGGAGGCUAUCGUCUCACAUUCCUCCAGGAAGGAUGACGCCUCCUUUCCCUGCCUGAACCUCAACACUGUUGAGGAGGAGGAACAUGAAACAUCCUGAAAGGCUUGGGUGUGACUGACACCCCUCCCCCUCUUUGUCUUCCCCACUCCAAUUAGUUGGGUGACAGAUCACCCUCUCCUCUCUCGGUGUCGCUGCAGCAGGCGUACAGUCGGGGGUGACGCGGGGAGAAGACGAGGGAGCAUGUCACCGGGAACCGUGAGGCUUCCUUCCUCUCCCGCCCAGACACGCCGAGCGAAAUCAC